UGAAAUGUGCAAAAACCAACCGACGACCGACUGAAAUGUCGCAGUCAUGACUCAUGGAGCGUUGUGCCAGGACCAGAUGUUAAUAUGUUAUCCAGAUCGACCAGGCUAAAUUAAACAACCAUACUCACUAACUAACCUACGACUCGGCACAAAUCUGUUGAUCGCGUGCAGAGACGGAUACGGCAGCUUCCGCUCCAAUCUAUCAACCCUCUUGAUUUCAUCUGUUUUUCAACAAGAACACGGGGUUCCCAUGCCAAGCAUCGAUCGAUGAUAGCAGGAACAUUUUCACACACACAUGGGCGCUUGAUUUACAAAAAUCAAAUCAAGGAUGAUUGAUUAAUUUUGGUUUUCACAGCAGGAGGUGAGUUUUCACUUUUGAGAGCAGGAGGUCGCCGAGGGCGAGGCCGACGCACACCGCCAGCGCGACCCACCAUGCGGCGGCCACCCGGUGCCCCGCGCCAUCCUCCUCCUCGGGCUCCGCGCCGGCGGCUCCUCCUCCAGCCCUGAGCGCGGAGUUCUCGGCCUCCAGCAUCAUCACCCACCGUUGGUGCGCCGAGAGCGCCACCGAGUCCCGCACGAGCAGUGCCACGAUACCUCCGCUGCUGGCGGCCGCGGCGGCCAGCUUCUCCUCCGC
This 634-nucleotide long non-coding RNA is filed under the name Hordeum vulgare. RNAcentral's name for it is "long non-coding RNA (HVUL_LNC011466)". Lineage: Eukaryota; Viridiplantae; Streptophyta; Magnoliopsida; Poales; Poaceae. The record is from RNAcentral.